RNAcentral lists this ribosomal RNA (854 nucleotides) under uncultured bacterium. RNAcentral's name for it is "bacterial SSU rRNA". It matches the Rfam family "Bacterial small subunit ribosomal RNA", at positions 8 to 853 of the family's 1533-position model. The record is from RNAcentral.
AGAGUUUGAUCAUGGCUCAGAUUGAACGCUGGCGGCAGGCUUAACACAUGCAAGUCGAACGGUAGCAGGAGAAAGCUUGCUUUCUUGCUGACGAGUGGCGGACGGGUGAGUAAUGCUUGGGAAUCUGGCUUAUGGAGGGGGAUAACUACGGGAAACUGUAGCUAAUACCGCGUAGUAUCGAGAGAUGAAAGGGUGGGACCUUCGGGCCACCUGCCAUAAGAUGAGCCCAAGUGGGAUUAGGUAGUUGGUGGGGUAAAGGCCUACCAAGCCGACGAUCUCUAGCUGGUCUGAGAGGAUGACCAGCCACACUGGAACUGAGACACGGUCCAGACUCCUACGGGAGGCAGCAGUGGGGAAUAUUGCACAAUGGGGGGAACCCUGAUGCAGCCAUGCCGCGUGAAUGAAGAAGGCCUUCGGGUUGUAAAGUUCUUUCGGUGAUGAGGAAGGGUGGUGUUUUAAUAGAGCACUACAUUGACGUUAGUCACAGAAGAAGCACCGGCUAACUCCGUGCCAGCAGCCGCGGUAAUACGGAGGGUGCGAGCGUUAAUCGGAAUGACUGGGCGUAAAGGGCACGCAGGCGGUGACUUAAGUGAGAUGUGAAAGCCCCGAGCUUAACUUGGGAAUUGCAUUUCAUACUGGGUUGCUAGAGUAUUUUAGGGAGGGGUAGAAUUCCACGUGUAGCGGUGAAAUGCGUAGAGAUGUGGAGGAAUACCGAAGGCGAAGGCAGCCCCUUGGGAAAAUACUGACGCUCAUGUGCGAAAGCGUGGGGAGCAAACAGGAUUAGAUACCCUGGUAGUCCACGCUGUAAACGCUGUCGAUUUGGGGAUUGGGCUUUAAGCUUGGUGCCCGUAGCU